GCCCUGGGGUGUUACAUGUGUGGGUGCAAACCACAAGAAGCAGAAUAGGUUUCUGCCGGGGCUU
RNAcentral lists this transfer RNA (64 nucleotides) under Adelastes hylonomos (Neblina frog). Its description in RNAcentral is "tRNA-Cys". Lineage: Eukaryota; Metazoa; Chordata; Amphibia; Anura; Microhylidae. The record is from RNAcentral.